AACGCACAUUGCGCCCCUUGGUAUUCCGAGGGGCAUGCCUAUUCGAGCGUCAUUAUCACCCCUCAAGCCUAGCUUGGUGUUGAGGCCUGCUGUUAAGGCAGCCUCUAAAAUCAGUGGCAGUGCUGUCAGGCUCUAAGCGUAGUAAUUUCAUCGCUAUAGGGUCCUGGUGGAUACUCGCCAAAACCCCCCCAUUUUUCAAAUGAUUGACCUCGGAUUAGGUAGGGAUACCCGCUGAACUUAA
RNAcentral lists this unclassified non-coding RNA (241 nucleotides) under uncultured Tetracladium. Its description in RNAcentral is "sequence contains ITS2". Lineage: Eukaryota; Fungi; Ascomycota. The record is from RNAcentral.